This 252-nucleotide ribosomal RNA is filed under the name uncultured bacterium. Its description in RNAcentral is "partial 16S ribosomal RNA". It matches the Rfam family "Bacterial small subunit ribosomal RNA", at positions 524 to 775 of the family's 1533-position model. The record is from RNAcentral.
UACGUAGGGUCCGAGCGUUGUCCGGAAUUACUGGGCGUAAAGAGCUCGUAGGUGGUUUGUCGCGUUGUUCGUGAAAACUCACAGCUUAACUGUGGGCGUGCGGGCGAUACGGGCAGACUUGAGUACUGCAGGGGAGACUGGAAUUCCUGGUGUAGCGGUGGAAUGCGCAGAUAUCAGGAGGAACACCGGUGGCGAAGGCGGGUCUCUGGGCAGUAACUGACGCUGAGGAGCGAAAGCGUGGGGAGCAACAGG